GAUGAACGCUCGCUACAGGCUUAACACAUGCAAGUCGAGGGGAAACGAUGAGAGAGCUUGCUCUCUUAGUCGUCGACCGGCGCACGGGUGAGUAACGCGUAUCCAACCUGCCUCUGACCAAGGGAUAACCCGUCGAAAGUCGGACUAAUACCUUAUGCAGUCGUCGGAAGUCAUCUGAUGACGACGAAAGAUUUCAUCGGUGAGAGAUGGGGAUGCGUCUGAUUAGCUUGUGGGCGGGGUAACGGCCCACCAAGGCGACGAUCAGUAGGGGUUCUGAGAGGAAGGUCCCCCACAUUGGAACUGAGACACGGUCCAAACUCCUACGGGAGGCAGCAGUGAGGAAUAUUGGGCAAUGGGCGUAAGCCUGAACCAGCCAAGUAGCGUGCAGGAUGACGGCCCUAUGGGUUGUAAACUGCUUUUAUGCGGGGAUAAAGUGAGGGACGUGUCCUUCAUUGCAGGUACCGAAUGAAUAAGAACCGGCUAAUUCCGUG
RNAcentral lists this ribosomal RNA (491 nucleotides) under uncultured bacterium. RNAcentral's name for it is "partial 16S ribosomal RNA". It matches the Rfam family "Bacterial small subunit ribosomal RNA", at positions 28 to 507 of the family's 1533-position model. The record is from RNAcentral.